CCUACGGGAGGCAGCAGUGGGGAAUAUUGCGCAAUGGGGGAAACCCUGACGCAGCAACGCCGCGUGAGUGAGGAAGGACUUCGGUCUGUAAAGCUCUGUUAAUGUGGAAAAAUGGUAGUUGGUCUAAUAGGCCGAUUAUUUGAUGGUACACAUAGAGGAAGCACCGGCUAACUUCGUGCCAGCAGCCGCGGUAAUACGAAGGGUGCAAGCGUUGUUCGGAUUUAUUGGGCGUAAAGCGCGCGUAGGCGGACCUGUAAGUCAGAUGUGAAAUCUCGGGGCUCAACCUCGAAACUGCGUCUGAAACUGCAGGUCUAGAAUCUCGGAGGGGGAAGGGGAAUUUCGCAUGUAGGGGUAAAAUCCGUAGAUAUGCGAAGGAACACCAGAGGCGAAGGCGCCUUCCUGGACGAGUAUUGACGCUGAGGCGCGAAAGCGUGGGGAUCAAACAGGAUUAGAUACCCUGGUAGUCCACGCUGUAAACUAUGAACACUAGGUAUUGGAGGAUUUGACCCCUUCAGUGCCGUAGCUAACGCGUUAAGUGUUCCGCCUGGGAAAGUACGGUCGCAAGCAAAACUCAAAUGAAAUUGACCGGNNGAGAGNGCGAGACGACGACGAGGAGAGG
Molecule: ribosomal RNA, 619 nt
Filed under: uncultured bacterium
Lineage: Bacteria
Description: bacterial SSU rRNA
Rfam family: Bacterial small subunit ribosomal RNA
Source: RNAcentral